Molecule: ribosomal RNA, 1168 nt
Filed under: uncultured Bacteroides sp.
Lineage: Bacteria; Pseudomonadati; Bacteroidota; Bacteroidia; Bacteroidales; Bacteroidaceae
Description: bacterial SSU rRNA
Rfam family: Bacterial small subunit ribosomal RNA
Source: RNAcentral
AGUUUGAUCCUGGCUCAGGAUGAACGCUAGCUACAGGCUUAACACAUGCAAGUCGAGGGGCAGCAUUGGGGUAGCAAUACUUCAGAUGGCGACCGGCGCACGGGUGAGUAACACGUAUCCAACCUGCCGCUUACUCGGGGAUAGCCUUUCGAAAGAAAGAUUAAUACCCGAUGGUAUAAAGAGUUCGCAUGUUCUCUUUAUUAAAGAAUUUCGGUAAGCGAUGGGGAUGCGUUCCAUUAGAUUGUUGGCGGGGUAACGGCCCACCAAGUCUACGAUGGAUAGGGGUUCUGAGAGGAAGGUCCCCCACAUUGGAACUGAGACACGGUCCAAACUCCUACGGGAGGCAGCAGUGAGGAAUAUUGGUCAAUGGACGCGAGUCUGAACCAGCCAAGUAGCGUGAAGGAUGACUGCCCUAUGGGUUGUAAACUUCUUUUAUAAGGGAAUAAAGUGAGGGACGUGUCCCUUUUUGUAUGUACCUUAUGAAUAAGGAUCGGCUAACUCCGUGCCAGCAGCCGCGGUAAUACGGAGGAUCCAAGCGUUAUCCGGAUUUAUUGGGUUUAAAGGGAGCGUAGGUUGACGUAUAAGUCAGCUGUGAAAGUUAACGGCUCAACCGUGAAAUUGCAGUUGAUACUGUAUGUCUUGAGUGUACAAGAGGUGGGCGGAAUUCGUGGUGUAGCGGUGAAAUGCUUAGAUAUCACGAAGAACUCCAAUUGCGAAGGCAGCUCACUGGGGUACAACUGACACUGAGGCUCGAAAGUGUGGGUAUCAAACAGGAUUAGAUACCCUGGUAGUCCACACAGUAAACGAUGAAUACUCGCUGUUUGCGAUAUACAGUAAGCGGCCAAGCGAAAGCAUUAAGUAUUCCACCUGGGGAGCACGCCGGCAACGGUGAAACUCAAAGGAAUUGACGGGGGCCCGCACAAGCGGAGGAACAUGUGGUUUAAUUCGAUGAUACGCGAGGAACCUUACCCGGGCUUGAAUUGCAGAGGAACAUAGUUGAAAGAUUAUGGCCGCAAGGUCUCUGUGAAGGUGCUGCAUGGUUGUCGUCAGCUCGUGCCGUGAGGUGUCGGCUUAAGUGCCAUAACGAGCGCAACCCUUAUCAUUAGUUACUAACAGGUCAUGCUGAGGACUCUAGUGAGACUGCCGUCGUAAGAUGUGAGGAAGGUGG